RNAcentral lists this ribosomal RNA (253 nucleotides) under uncultured bacterium. Its description in RNAcentral is "partial 16S ribosomal RNA". It matches the Rfam family "Bacterial small subunit ribosomal RNA", at positions 524 to 776 of the family's 1533-position model. The record is from RNAcentral.
UACGUAGGGGGCAAGCGUUGUCCGGAAUUAUUGGGCGUAAAGAGCGUGUAGGCGGUCCGGUAAGUCAGCUGUGAAAGUCAAGGGCUCAACCCUUGAAUGCCGGUUGAUACUGUCGGGCUAGAGUCCGGAAGAGGCGAGUGGAAUUCCCGGUGUAGCGGUGAAAUGCGCAGAUAUCGGGAGGAACACCAAUGGCGAAGGCGGUUCUCUGGGACGGUACUGACGCUGAGACGCGAAAGCGUGGGGAGCGAACAGG